Molecule: ribosomal RNA, 254 nt
Filed under: uncultured bacterium
Lineage: Bacteria
Description: partial 16S ribosomal RNA
Rfam family: Bacterial small subunit ribosomal RNA
Source: RNAcentral
UACAGAGGUCUCAAGCGUUGUUCGGAUUCAUUGGGCGUAAAGGGCGCGUAGGCGGCGGGGUCAGUCGGGUGUGAAAUCUUGGGGCUUAACCCCGAAACGGCACUCGAAACUGCCCGGCUGGAGGGCCGGAGAGGAGAUCGGAAUUCACGGUGUAGCAGUGAAAUGCGUAGAGAUCGUGAGGAAGACCCGUGGCGAAGGCGGAUCUCUGGACGGCUAACUGACACUCAGGGACGAAAGCUAGGGGAGCGAAUGGG